GUGCAGUUCGAACGGCAGCGCGAGAGAGCUUGCUCCUCCUUGGCGGCGAGUGGCGGACGGGUGAGUAAUAUAUCGGAACGUGCCCAGUAGCGGGGGAUAACUACUCGAAAGAGUGGCUAAUACCGCAUACGCCCUACGGGGGAAAGGGGGGGAUCGCAAGACCUCUCACUAUUGGAGCGGCCGAUAUCGGAUUAGCUAGUUGGUGGGGUAAAGGCUCACCAAGGCAACGAUCCGUAGCUGGUUUGAGAGGACGACCAGCCACACUGGGACUGAGACACGGCCCAGACUCCUACGGGAGGCAGCAGUGGGGAAUUUUGGACAAUGGGGGAAACCCUGAUCCAGCCAUCCCGCGUGUAUGAUGAAGGCCUUCGGGUUGUAAAGUACUUUUGGCAGAGAAGAAAAGGUAUCUCCUAAUACGAGAUACUGCUGACGGUAUCUGCAGAAUAAGCACCGGCUAACUACGUGCCAGCAGCCGCGGUAAUACGUAGGGUGCAAGCGUUAAUCGGAAUUACUGGGCGUAAAGCGUGUGUAGGCGGUUCGGAAAGAAAGAUGUGAAAUCCCAGGGCUCAACCUUGGAACUGCAUUUUUAACUGCCGAGCUAGAGUAUGUCAGAGGGGGGUAGAAUUCCACGUGUAGCAGUGAAAUGCGUAGAUAUGUGGAGGAAUACCGAUGGCGAAGGCAGCCCCCUGGGAUAAUACUGACGCUCAGACACGAAAGCGUGGGGAGCAAACAGGAUUAGAUACCCUGGUAGUCCACGCCCUAAACGAUGUCAACUAGCUGUUGGGGCCGUUAGGCCUUAGUAGCGCAGCUAACGCGUGAAGUUGACCGCCUGGGGAGUACGGUCGCAAGAUUAAAACUCAAAGGAAUUGACGGGGACCCGCACAAGCGGUGGAUGAUGUGGAUUAAUUCUAUGCAACGCGAAGAACCUUACCUACCCUUGACAUGUCUGGAAAGCCGAAGAGAUUUGGCCGUGCUCGC
RNAcentral lists this ribosomal RNA (978 nucleotides) under Alcaligenes phenolicus. RNAcentral's name for it is "bacterial SSU rRNA". It matches the Rfam family "Bacterial small subunit ribosomal RNA", at positions 55 to 1021 of the family's 1533-position model. Lineage: Bacteria; Pseudomonadati; Pseudomonadota; Betaproteobacteria; Burkholderiales; Alcaligenaceae. The record is from RNAcentral.